This 302-nucleotide ribosomal RNA is filed under the name Glomus sp. 2-Mutompo. RNAcentral's name for it is "SSU rRNA". It matches the Rfam family "Eukaryotic small subunit ribosomal RNA", at positions 1407 to 1707 of the family's 1831-position model. Lineage: Eukaryota; Fungi; Glomeromycota; Glomeromycetes; Glomerales; Glomeraceae. The record is from RNAcentral.
CUUCUUAGAGGGGCUAUCGGUGUUUAACCGAUGGAAGUUUGAGGCAAUAACAGGUCUGUGAUGCCCCUAGAUGUUCCUGGGCCGCACGCGCGCUACACUGAUGAAGUCAUCGAGUUCAUUUCCUUCAUCGGAAGAUGUGGGUAAUCUUUUGAAACUUCAUCGUGCUGGGGAUAGAGCUUUGCAAUUAUUGCUCUUGAACGAGGAAUCCCUAGUAAGUACAAGUCAUCAGCUUGUGCUGAUUACGUCCCUGCCCUUUGUACCCACCGCCCGUCGCUACUACCGAUUGAAUGGCUUAGUGAGGC